UUUAUUGGAGAGUUUGAUCCUGGCUCAGGAUGAACGCUGGCGGCGUGCCUAAUACAUGCAAGUCGAGCGAAUGGAUUGAGAGCUUGCUCUCAAGAAGUUAGCGGCGGACGGGUGAGUAACACGUGGGUAACCUGCCCAUAAGACUGGGAUAACUCCGGGAAACCGGGGCUAAUACCGGAUAAUAUUUUGAACUGCAUGGUUCAAAAUUGAAAGGCGGCUUCGGCUGUCACUUAUGGAUGGACCCGCGUCGCAUUAGCUAGUUGGUGAGGUAACGGCUC
RNAcentral lists this ribosomal RNA (278 nucleotides) under Bacillus thuringiensis. RNAcentral describes it as "partial 16S ribosomal RNA". It matches the Rfam family "Bacterial small subunit ribosomal RNA", at positions 1 to 266 of the family's 1533-position model. The record is from RNAcentral. Lineage: Bacteria; Bacillati; Bacillota; Bacilli; Caryophanales; Bacillaceae.